UUGGCCUACUACCUUUUGAGUUUUUUCUUGGUUUUAUACAUGUCAAGCAACAUCUUUGAUGGCUGCACAUUUAUUUCACUUCCAGAUAUACACUACAGUCUUUUAACCAUUGCCAGAGUUCUCUGUAGGUUAAGGAACCCUUUUUUUGCCAUACAGAUAUGUCUGUGCCUUCUAGUAUUGCUUCUGAUGGCUAAGCGCCACCACUUUGUUUUCUGCUAUUCCGGAACUCUGUCAGCUUCAUUGACACUAGGGGCCUUUGUCUCAUGGAACUGUCUCCUUCUGUCAAUUCUGUACAGCAGAGGAUAGCCAUACUGCACUUCUCAAAAACGUUAGUGUUUUCUUCAAUAAUGCAUGCCUCCUUGGAUGCAGAAACCCAGAUCUCCAGGUGUGCCUAAAGAAUCUUGGGGAUGUGUCUUCUGAAGCUAAAGAGACCCCUAAGCAUCCUGCAAAAUACCAGUGCACAACAAUUUGGGACAUAGCUUAAGCUUUCUGCUCGAUGCUGGCGACAAAGAGGAGAAAGACAACUUCUACUCUCAGACAACUUAGUCUGCUUUAGGAGUUACAAACACAGACAAUUUCAACACUGGAUGAAAAUGAUGGGACAAAGGUAAAAGGAGAGAGGAAUGCAUCUCAGCUGAGUUUCAGAAAAAAAAAAAGUUUUGAAGAGAUCUCAAUGUUAGGAAGCCAACAAGGCCUGCAAAAGUCACCUAGAUCAUGAAAUUGACUAUGUCAGGGGAGGCAAUUCGUCACAAUCGUGUUUGAAAAUGAGGAUAAGCAUGGAGAGCCAAUGAUUACAUUUCACAAUGUCCUUCAUGG
RNAcentral lists this long non-coding RNA (816 nucleotides) under Homo sapiens (human). RNAcentral's name for it is "HSALNT0312872". The record is from RNAcentral. Lineage: Eukaryota; Metazoa; Chordata; Mammalia; Primates; Hominidae.